AUGCUUGCUUCAACAGCACAUAUACUAAAAAUUAGAAUGACACAGAGAAGGUUAGCAUGGCCCCUGCACAAGAAUGACAUGCAAAUUCAUGAAGCAUUCCAUAUUAAA
Molecule: small nuclear RNA, 108 nt
Organism: Cebus imitator (Panamanian white-faced capuchin)
Lineage: Eukaryota; Metazoa; Chordata; Mammalia; Primates; Cebidae
Source: Ensembl